UACGUAGGGGGCUAGCGUUGUCCGGAAUCAUUGGGCGUAAAGCGCGCGUAGGCGGCCCGGUAAGUCCGUUGUGAAAGUCAAAGGCUCAACCUUUGAAUGCCGAUGGAUACUGCCGGGCUCGAGUCCGGAAGAGGCGAGUGGAAUUCCUGGUGUAGCGGUGGAAUGCGCAGAUAUCAGGAGGAACACCAAUAGCGAAGGCAGCUCGCUGGGACGGUACUGACGCUAAGGCGCGAAAGCGUGGGGAGCGAACAGG
RNAcentral lists this ribosomal RNA (253 nucleotides) under uncultured bacterium. RNAcentral describes it as "partial 16S ribosomal RNA". It matches the Rfam family "Bacterial small subunit ribosomal RNA", at positions 524 to 776 of the family's 1533-position model. The record is from RNAcentral.